UACGUAGGGUGCGAGCGUUGUCCGGAAUUAUUGGGCGUAAAGGGCUCGUAGGCGGUUUGUUACGUCGGGAGUGAAAACCCAGGGCUCAACCCUGGGCCUGCUUCCGAUACGGGCAGACUAGAGGUAUGCAGGGGAGAAUGGAAUUCCUGGUGUAGCGGUGAAAUGCGCAGAUAUCAGGAGGAACACCGGUGGCGAAGGCGGUUCUCUGGGCAUUACCUGACGCUGAGGAGCGAAAGUGUGGGGAGCGAACAGG
This 253-nucleotide ribosomal RNA is filed under the name uncultured bacterium. Its description in RNAcentral is "partial 16S ribosomal RNA". It matches the Rfam family "Bacterial small subunit ribosomal RNA", at positions 524 to 776 of the family's 1533-position model. The record is from RNAcentral.